CAUCUCCAACCUCCGGACUACUUGUUCGUAUCUGGAACAAACUCUGUACCGAAACGAAGCCGCAAGAAACUCCCGAUUCCGUUCGAUUCCGUGCUCCUCUGCCACAAAAAUCCUCUUAUAAAUACCUCACAAUCUCCUCUGCAGUUUCCUCCUCAAAACCCUAGAUUUCGCACCGCCAGGCUGCCGAAAUUUCUCGCCGAAGUUCCAAGCAGCCGCCGGGAUUGGAGCUCGAGAUUGAUAGAACGAGGCCGCCCGGAAACGCCGUCGGAAGAUCGUCGGAGACGCGACACUUCGGCCGCCUAUCGCCGCUGCUCGUGGAUGCGAAAGAUUCAUACAAGCGCACCAUCGUGACCGCCGUCUCCUUCCGCACCUCAUCCGAGUAUCCGACAUCUCGACGCCACCAAGGACCUCCGUAACCGCCACCUGAGCCUCGCUGAAUGACACCAGGAACACAAACGUGACAAACAGAACGUCCGCUGAAUCGGAUAACCACCAGAACGCCGUCGCCAUUCACGGUCGCCAUUCACGUCCGACCCACCAUCGUUCAUGCAUCAGUUGUACGGAGAGACACGAGUUUUGAUUGAGAGAAGUGCAGAAUUCUUCAG
Molecule: long non-coding RNA, 605 nt
Organism: Lolium rigidum
Lineage: Eukaryota; Viridiplantae; Streptophyta; Magnoliopsida; Poales; Poaceae
Exons: 3
Source: RefSeq, a predicted model, not a curated record